RNAcentral lists this ribosomal RNA (919 nucleotides) under uncultured archaeon. Its description in RNAcentral is "bacterial SSU rRNA". It matches the Rfam family "Archaeal small subunit ribosomal RNA", at positions 1 to 922 of the family's 1478-position model. The record is from RNAcentral.
UUCCGGUUGAUCCUGCCGGAGGACAUUGCUAUUGGGAUUCGAUUUAGCCAUGCUAGUCGCACGAGUUCAGACUCGUGGCGAAUAGCUCAGUAACACGUGGCCAAACUACCCUUCGGAACACAAUACCCUCGGGAAACUGAGGCUAAUAGUGUAUACCACAGUCCACCUGGAAUGAGGACUGUGCCAAACGCUCCGGCGCCGAAGGAUGUGGCUGCGGCCGAUUAGGUAGACGGUGGGGUAACGGCCCACCGUGCCAAUAAUCGGUACGGGUCAUGAGAGUGAGAACCCGGAGACGGAAUCUGAGACAAGAUUCCGGGCCCUACGGGGCGCAGCAGGCGCGAAACCUUUACACUGCACGACAGUGCGAUAAGGGAAUCCCAAGUGCGUAGGCAUAGAGCCUACGCUUUUGUCCACCGUAGGGAGGUGGACGAAUAAGGGCUGGGCAAGACCGGUGCCAGCCGCCGCGGUAAUACCGGCAGCCCGAGUGAUGGCCGAUCUUAUUGGGCCUAAAGCGUCCGUAGCUGGCCGCGCAAGUCUAUCGGAAAAUCCACCCGCUCAACGGGUGGGCGUCCGGUAGAAACUGUGUGGCUUGGGACCGGAAGGCGCGACGGGUACGUCCGGGGUAGGAGUGAAAUCCUGUAAUCCUGGACGGACCGCCGAUGGCGAAAGCACGUCGCGAAGACGGAUCCGACAGUGAGGGACGAAAGCUAGGGUCUCGAACCGGAUUAGAUACCCGGGUAGUCCUAGCCGUAAACAAUGCCUGUUAGGUGUGGCUCCCACUACGAGUGGGUGCUGUGCCGUAGGGAAGCCGCUAAACAGACCGCCUGGGAAGUACGUCCGCAAGGAUGAAACUUAAAGGAAUUGGCGGGGGAGCACUACAACCGGAGGAGCCUGCGGUUUAAUUGGAUUCAACGCCGGG